UAGGGAAUCUUCGGCAAUGGACGAAAGUCUGACCGAGCAACGCCGCGUGAGUGAAGAAGGUUUUCGGAUUGUAAAACUCUGUUGUUAGAGAAGAACAAGGACGUUAGUAACUGAACGUCCCCUGACGGUAUCUAACCAGAAAGCCACGGCUAACUACGUGCCAGCAGCCGCGGUAAUACGUAGGUGGCAAGCGUUGUCCGGAUUUAUUGGGCGUAAAGCGAGCGCAGGCGGUUUCUUAAGUCUGAUGUGAAAGCCCCCGGCUCAACCGGGGAGGGUCAUUGGAAACUGGGAGGCUUGAGUGCAGAAGAGGAGGGUGGAAUUCCGUGUGUAGCGGUGAAAUGCGUAGAUAUAUGGAGGAACACCAGUGGCGAAGGCGGCUCUCUGGUCUGUAACUGACGCUGAGGCGCGAAAGCGUGGGGAGCAAACAGG
RNAcentral lists this ribosomal RNA (429 nucleotides) under Gemmatimonadota bacterium. RNAcentral describes it as "Gemmatimonadetes bacterium partial 16S ribosomal RNA". It matches the Rfam family "Bacterial small subunit ribosomal RNA", at positions 355 to 776 of the family's 1533-position model. The record is from RNAcentral. Lineage: Bacteria; Pseudomonadati; Gemmatimonadota.